Molecule: ribosomal RNA, 468 nt
Filed under: uncultured bacterium
Lineage: Bacteria
Description: partial 16S ribosomal RNA
Rfam family: Bacterial small subunit ribosomal RNA
Source: RNAcentral
GACGAACGCUGGCGGCGUGCUUAACACAUGCAAGUCGAACGGAAAGGCCCUGCUUUUGUGGGGUGCUCGAGUGGCGAACGGGUGAGUAACACGUGAGUAACCUGCCCUUGACUUUGGGAUAACUUCAGGAAACUGGGGCUAAUACCGGAUAGGAGCUCCUGCUGCAUGGUGGGGGUUGGAAAGUUUCGGCGGUUGGGGAUGGACUCGCGGCUUAUCAGCUUGUUGGUGGGGUAGUGGCUUACCAAGGCUUUGACGGGUAGCCGGCCCGAGAGGGUGACCGGCCACAUUGGGACUGAGAUACGGCCAAGACUCCUACGGGAGGCAGCAGUGGGGAAUAUUGCACAAUGGGCGGAAGCCUGAUGCAGCAACGCCGCGUGCGGGAUGACGGCCUUCGGGUUGUAAACCGCUUUCGCCUGUGACGAAGCGUGAGUGACGGUAAUGGGUAAAGAAGCACCGGCUAACUACGUG